Molecule: long non-coding RNA, 5522 nt
Filed under: Lactuca sativa (garden lettuce)
Lineage: Eukaryota; Viridiplantae; Streptophyta; Magnoliopsida; Asterales; Asteraceae
Description: long non-coding RNA (LSAT_LNC006903)
Source: RNAcentral
AAAUACCAACCACAUAUACCCUACACAUAGCAUAUCAUAACAUAACAGAACAUAGAACAGCCAUGCACUUCGGGUCUACUGUGUGACUGGUCCGCCGCACCGGCCUACAGUCCACCUGGUCCACUCUCCGAGUCCAGACAUAUACAUCGAGUCUGCAGUGUGGUUAGUCCACCCAUAUCUGGCCUUUAACCCACCUAGUCCACUCUCUGANGAGUCUACAGUGUGAUUGGUCCGCCCGCACCGGGCCUUCAAUCCACCUGGUCCACUCUCUGAGUCUACAGUAUGACUGCUCCGCCCGCACCGGGCCUUCAGUCGGCUUGGUCCACUCUCCGAGCCUCGGCACAUCUUGUUCGCCCUCUCGGGGCCUUCAGCCUAUCCGGACCACUCGUUGGGCCUUCGGGACAACCAGUCCGCCCUGGGUAUGUUGGCCUACAGCACAAAGCAGGACCCGCCUCAACCCAACCCCAGUCCAACAACCAUGUGCACAUAAACAUAUAAUCAUAUAUCAAUUCACAACUAAUCAAACCGAUCUUAGCAGAUCACAUACAUAGUACAUCCCUACCAGGAUUCCGACCUAACCGGUCACUAGCAUAGCAUCAUCCUAUAAACCAGGAUACCGACCUUAACCAGGUCUCUAACAUAUACCAUCCUAACUACCAGGAUGCAAACAUAACAAAGCAAUAACAUCACAACAACUACCCGGAUUUCCAUCCGAUAAAGGGCCGGCCUUGGUGCCUUAGACCCUGUUGAUAUAGUGAGGAUAACUCACCUCGCAACUGCUGACUGAAAAGAUAAGAUCACGCUGCUCCAACCUCCGACACGAACUCCACCACUGAUCAAUACCAAAAGACUGAACUCAAUAAAUACCAAUAAUUACCAAAAUACCCCUGGAAGUCAACUGGUCAACUCUUGGUCAAAGUCAAAGUCCUCAGUCAAAGUCAACCCUCCUGGCUGACUCUACUCGCCGAGUCAACUUUCUGACUCGUCGAGUCCCUAUACUUAGAAACUCCCAAUCCACGACUCAACUCGCCGAGUUCAACAAACUCUGAGUCACUUCCUGCUUAACUCACCGAGUCGUCCCUCGACUCACUGAUUCACAGCUCGACCAAAAAGGUUAGGACUUCACGACCAGACUCGCCGAGUCCAAGAACAGACUCGCCGAGUCCAAGGCAAUCUUCAACAGACUCGCCGAGUUGUUCUUCCAACUCGUCGAGUUCCUGCCUAUCUUCAUCCAACUCGUCGAGUUCACCCAUGUGACUCGCCGAGUACCUCAAGUUCUUAAUCCAUACAAUGGCUUUCUAAGCCAUGCAUGGGGCUCCAAACCAUAGAUCCACUCCCCUACAACCCAUCCAUCACGUAAAGUGGCAAACUUUACGUGAAUCCAAAGAGAUCUAAGCAUAAUACACUCUUGGGCUAAGGUUUGGGACAAAAGAACUUCACCAACAACUCUUGGGCAUAGACUUUAUGGCUUCUUUGAUCAUUAACAGCCUAGAUCUGAGGUAGCAACCUCACAUCUUACACCAAACUCGAGAUGGACCUCAUUUAUGCCUCAAAAACCCCACAAUUGAUAGAUCUAGAUGCACAAAAGCUCAAACAACAGAUUAUUACCUUAAAUGAAAGCUCCAACUGAAGAGUAAGCUAAAUCUCUACAAAGCCCCUUGCUCCAAUCUUCUUUCUCUUCAAUUUUUUUCCAAGAUUCCCUCCUCAAAGGCUCUAAUCUCUCACAAAGGAAAGCUCACACGAAUCUAGGGCUUCUGGAACUCAAAGGGAAGGUAUAGAGGCUGGGGAGAGGGUAUCAUGUUCUUUAUAUAGGGCUCAACCCCCGGGAUUAGGGUUUUCUCCAUACAAUUCUAACUCGCCGAGUCCACCCAUGCAACUCGCCGAGUUGGUCACUUAACACGUGACCCGAAACGCGACUCGACUCGCUGAGUCUAUCCAUCGACUCGCCGAGUCGACCUUCUUAUUUACCCUUUUAGCCCUUCAACUAUACUUCUGAAUUUCCGGGAUGUUACAAUUCUCCCCCCACUUAAAUUAGGCUUCGUCCUCGAAGCCUACUGCAACACAUCCCAGAUGAAUACUCCCACAAUACAACUCUUGGCCUCAACCAACCCAUGUUCCUCCAAACACUACUAUCAAACCCUUAUAAAGUCCGACUCUUUCAUUCCAUGCUGACAGGAUGACACAUCCUUCAGUUUCUGAGCAUCUCCCAUGAUCUCUCCUCUGCAAUCACAUACACAUGCUACACCCGCUCUAACAUCCUCAGCUAGAAAAACCCGACACACUAACGAUACCUCUAAACGUCCCCCAGGAUGAAUUAACACUACAUACAUAACUUCCUGAUCACAACCAUACUGGAAAAUCCAAGGCUCCAUCCUUGCAUCCCCUCCGAACUCUUCUGGUUCUACACUACCAAAAAUCCUUCCGCAACCUCAACAAACACCCAACCCAGAUGUGUUCCCAUACCACUGGUACCAUCCUAGUACUUACUACCAAUAGCUAAAGUACUGCUGAUAAUCCAUUUACUCCACUUCCUCCUCUUAUGGAGUACUCACGCUCCUUUCGGAGCUACAUGUCUUUCCUUUCCAGGAAAUCCCUCAACAACCCUUACUGCACCUGCACGUGCCACUGAGCUAAACUUCACUCUACGUUAUCCAUGUAGAGCAACUGCUAUUCUUGAACUUCCAUAAACUCUGAAUCUGCUUGCAAGGAUUCUCAGGUCCAUGCACUGCCUUCCACUAACAUGAUUAAUACUUGGGGACAGACCAUAUCAAUCAUCAUCCUAUGGUGACACCUUUUCUCACUCUCCUCGAACCGAUCCACUAACACAUACAGCUAAUCAACCUCAAAUACUUGUCGAUCCUCCGGAGAAUUUUCCAAUUCUCCCCACUUAGAGAACUGACUACCAACCACCGGUGACCCAACCGACAUCACUCAAACAUUCUUACUCAACAACUUCUCUUAUACUUGCACUGAUUCUAAACGAGCAACCUCCCCAAAACCAUGUUCCAGCAUCGCACAACUCGAACUCUAAGGGAGUUUGACUCCCCGCUGAACACUUCUCAAAACACAAUUGAUAUACUCGACAACUUAACCAUACCACCAAAUGCUGACCAUCAAUUCCUUGGAUGCUAACUGAUUCCAAUCCCCUAACUACCGACCCCUCAAUAAUACCAUAAACCCGAAAGACCGUAUGAAUACCAUACCAUGAAUUAUGCAAAUGAGACUAGCAGAUAUAAUACUCCAUAACAACCAUAAGAUAACAAGAUAUCAAGAAGGAAACAUACCCACAGCUGAAUCCGGCUCUGCCCUGACCUGCUCUGCCAUAAGCUGAAAAGCACGCCCCUGAGCCCUCGGGGGCUCUGCUCCACUCUGACCUCCACCCGUGAUCCUCAAAGUGGUCUGUGCUGGAGCCUGCACCGGUCCUGCAACAAGUUGUGGACAGUUGGCCCUCAGGUGACCAACCUGAUGGCACUGGUAACAAAUCCUCAUAUCCUGAACUGGGGCUGACUGAUGGAAAUCCCUCACAUAAUGCCCCUCUCUCCCGCACUUGCGACAUGUACCCCCGGACCUACAAACUCCGAUGUGACCCUUCCCGCACUUCCCACAAGUGCGGCUUCUCUAAUCUCCCAAACUAGAAUCAACGGUCUUGGACCGUUUCGGCGCCGGCUGCGACUGCACCGGGACCUGCCUCUGCUCUCUCAACUAAAGCUCAAUCUCCAACUCACGCCGCCAAGCAGCCUCCUGCAACUCCAGUAAGGUCUCGCACCUCUGCAUAGACACAAACUGCCUGAUAUCCCUCUUGAGCAUACUCAGAUAUCGGGACAUCUGAGCCUGCUCCGAAGCAAACUCUGGGCAAAACAUCGCCCUCUCAGUGAACAUCCUGGUGAUCUCCGUCACCGACUCUGAAUCCUACUUCAGCUCCAGGAACUCCUGAGCUAACCUCUCUUUCUCUCAACUCGUGGAACAUAAUGGGUGCUGAACAUCUCCCGAAACUGAUCCCAAGAAACCGCAGCUCGCUGCGCAUCCGAAUAUGACCCCGUAGUCAACCUCCACCAAUCCUUCGCCCCGAGCCUUAACAGGUUUAGAGCACACCUCACCCUCUGAUCAGCAAGGCAUGAACAUGUGAAGAAAAACCCCUCCACAUCUAACAACCAUCGCAUAGCAACAAUCGGAUCCUGAACUCCAUCAAAAGUAGGGGGCUUCGUAUUAUCGAAAUCCCGAUACUGAAAACCUCUACAAGCUCCUCCCCCUGCUGUCGCUACAGCCGUUGUAGCCGCCGCGGCAACCGUCUCUCUAAGAGCUGCAUAACGCUCAUCAAAAUACUCGACCAUGGCGGUCUUAAUCGACCCAAGCAGUUCCGACAACUUGGCUCGGAACAUAGCAGCAACCUCAUCAUGCAGGAUCUCACGAAUCCUAGCAUCCAACUCGUUUGUGCUCAUCUGACCGAUAACCUCGUGUGGUGCUGAUCCACCCUGACCGCCCCCUCCUGCUCCCGAUCCUGACCUGGAUCCGCUCCCAGCAUGCCUCAUAACCACCAUACUGAAAUUCACAGCCAGAAAAUAAGAUGCUUCCCCAAUAGCCCGGGAACCAACUCCCAAUCUGACCCUAGGGGUUGUGACUUCCUUGAUACGCGUAUGGGUCCUGUACUUUUAGUAGUACGGGCCCAUACUACCUUCCGCACCUACCCAUAUUUAUAUCAAGUAUCACCACAACACCCUAGUGAAGAACAUGCAUAACAAGCACUCAACCCUCACUCUUAGAGGAACACUGGAAAUCUCAUACAGAAAGAAACCCUAGGCUAGCAUGCAUCACAAUCAGGCAACUCUAUCAUGCACUUCCUGAAGAUCCCUAGUCUAACACUGGCAUGCUGUUCUAACAUAUCACAUAAUCAAAUAACUUGUAUGGUAUUUUGGGGAUACUUACUGGCUCCGGCUGAUCGUACCUCCGUGCCCUCCUUUACUCAUUUUUGAAAACCAUUUUAAAUUCUCUUUUGAAAACUCUCCUUGAUUUGAGACUGGAUUCACACGAAUGUUCCUCCAAAUCACUCAAACUAAGGCUCUGAUACCAACUUGUAACGCUCUAAAAAUUUCAACCAAUUUAAACUUUUCAAAACACAACCCACAUUCAUUAAGUUAUUCUAAAAAGGUUUUCAAUACUUUAUAUUAUCAGAGAAUUCCCUAGAACAAUAUCAUAAAACAUAAACAUGAGGAGCAGUACGAUCACGCCUUUGCCUUGCCACGGUCUCCUGAAGAACCUGAAACAUUAAACCACAACUGUAAGCCCGAAUGCUUAGUGAGAUACCCCUAAAAUACCAACCACAUAUACCCUACACAUAGCAUAUCAUAACAUAACAGAACAUAGAACAGCCAUGCACUUCGGGUCUACUGUGUGACUGGUCCGCCGCACCGGCCUACAGUCCACCUGGUCCACUCUCCGAGUCUAGCCAUAUACAUCAAGUCUACAGUGUGAUUGGUCCGCCCGCACCGGGCCUUCAAUCCACCUGGUCCACUCUCUGAGUCUAC